GAUGAACGCUGGCGGCGUGCCUAAUACAUGCAAGUCGAGCGAACAGACGAGGAGCUUGCUCCUUUGACGUUAGCGGCGGACGGGUGAGUAACACGUGGAUAACCUACCUAUAAGACUGGGAUAACUUCGGGAAACCGGAGCUAAUACCGGAUAACAUGUUGAACCGCAUGGUUCAACAGUGAAAGACGGUCUUGCUGUCACUUAUAGAUGGAUCCGCGCCGCAUUAGCUAGUUGGUAAGGUAACGGCUUACCAAGGCAACGAUGCGUAGCCGACCUGAGAGGGUGAUCGGCCACACGGGAACUGAGACACGGUCCAGACUCCUACGGGAGGCAGCAGUAGGGAAUCUUCCGCAAUGGGCGAAAGCCUGACGGAGCAACGCCGCGUGAGUGAAGAAGGUCUUCGGAUCGUAAAACUCUGUUAUUAGGGAAGAACAAAUGUGUAAGUAACUAUGCACGUCUUGACGGUACCUAAUCAGAAAGCCACGGCUAGCUACGUG
RNAcentral lists this ribosomal RNA (497 nucleotides) under uncultured bacterium. RNAcentral's name for it is "partial 16S ribosomal RNA". It matches the Rfam family "Bacterial small subunit ribosomal RNA", at positions 28 to 507 of the family's 1533-position model. The record is from RNAcentral.